This 78-nucleotide microRNA precursor is filed under the name Canis lupus familiaris (dog). RNAcentral describes it as "mir-450 microRNA precursor family". It matches the Rfam family "mir-450 microRNA precursor family". RNAcentral also lists the same sequence under 3 other names. Lineage: Eukaryota; Metazoa; Chordata; Mammalia; Carnivora; Canidae. The record is from Rfam by way of RNAcentral.
GCCUAACUAUUUUUGCGAUGUGUUCCUAAUAUGUACUAUAAGUGUAUUGGGAACAUUUUGCAUUCAUAGUUUUGUGUC